AUGAUUGCAUUCAGAGAUACUUUGGAAGUCUGUGGCCUUGUUGAUUUGGGCUUUGUGGGGAUUCCAUUCACAUAUGAUAACAAGAGAGGAGGGGCAAGUAAUGUUCAAGUGCGCCUGGACAGGGCAGUGGCUACGAAUGAAUGGAGGAACUUGUUUGCAUUCACGUCUGUGCUCCAUGUACCAUCGCCGUGCUCAGAUCAUGUGGUGGUGGUGUUGAAAACAGCUCCUGAUCAAGGACCGUCGAGAGUGAAGCAGAGACGUUACGAGCUUUUUUGGGAGAGAGAUGAGGCGCUACCUGAGGUCAUCAAAGAGGCGUGGGAGGAGAUAGGCAAUGUGGAGAAUCUGGCACAACUCCGAGAGGCACUAUCAAAAACAAUGGCAACCUUGGGGAAGUGGAGU
This 399-nucleotide ribosomal RNA is filed under the name Triticum aestivum (bread wheat). RNAcentral describes it as "partial small subunit ribosomal RNA". The record is from RNAcentral. Lineage: Eukaryota; Viridiplantae; Streptophyta; Magnoliopsida; Poales; Poaceae.